ACGAAGGGGGCUAGCGUUGUUCGGAAUUACUGGGCGUAAAGCGCGUGUAGGCGGUUGUUCAAGUCAGGUGUGAAAGCCUUGAGCUCAACUCAAGAAAUGCACUUGAUACUGGAUGACUAGAGGACCGGAGAGGAUAGUGGAAUUCCCAGUGUAGUGGUGAAAUACGUAGAGAUUGGGAAGAACACCAGUGGCGAAGGCGGCUAUCUGGACGGUUUCUGACGCUAAGACGCGAAAGCGUGGGGAGCAAACAGGA
Molecule: ribosomal RNA, 253 nt
Filed under: uncultured prokaryote
Description: partial 16S ribosomal RNA
Rfam family: Bacterial small subunit ribosomal RNA
Source: RNAcentral